This 916-nucleotide ribosomal RNA is filed under the name uncultured bacterium. RNAcentral's name for it is "bacterial SSU rRNA". It matches the Rfam family "Bacterial small subunit ribosomal RNA", at positions 8 to 916 of the family's 1533-position model. The record is from RNAcentral.
AGAGUUUGAUCAUGGCUCAGAUUGAACGCUGGCGGCAUGCCUAACACAUGCAAGUCGAACGGUAACGACGGGAGCUUGCUCCCGGGCGACGAGUGGCGGACGGGUGAGUAAUACUUAGGAAUCUGCCCAGUAGUGGGGGACAACUCGAGGAAACUCGAGCUAAUACCGCAUACGCCCUACGGGGGAAAGCGGGGGAUCUUCGGACCUCGCGCUAUUGGAUGAGCCUAAGUCGGAUUAGCUUGUAGGUAGGGUAACGGCCUACCUAGGCGACGAUCCGUAGCUGGUCUGAGAGGACGAUCAGCCACACUGGAACUGAGACACGGUCCAGACUCCUACGGGAGGCAGCAGUGGGGAAUAUUGGACAAUGGGCGCAAGCCUGAUCCAGCAAUGCCGCGUGUGUGAAGAAGGCCUGCGGGUUGUAAAGCACUUUCAGUGGAGAAGAAAAGCCUACGGUUAAUAACCGUGAGUCUUGACGUAACCCACAGAAGAAGCACCGGCUAACUCCGUGCCAGCAGCCGCGGUAAUACGGAGGGUGCGAGCGUUAAUCGGAAUUACUGGGCGUAAAGCGCGCGUAGGCGGUUUGGUCAGUCGAAUGUGAAAGCCCAGGGCUUAACCUUGGAACUGCGUUCGAUACUGCCUGACUAGAGUAUGGUAGAGGGAAGUGGAAUUUCCGGUGUAGCGGUGAAAUGCGUAGAUAUCGGAAGGAACACCAGUGGCGAAGGCGACUUCCUGGGCCAAUACUGACGCUGAGGUGCGAAAGCGUGGGGAGCAAACAGGAUUAGAUACCCUGGUAGUCCACGCCGUAAACGAUGAGAACUAGAUGUCGGGGGGGUUGCCCUUCGGUGUCGCAGCUAACGCGUUAAGUUCUCCGCCUGGGGAGUACGCCGGCAACGGUAAAACUCAAAUGAAUUGACGG